GGAGAGAUGGCUCAGUGACUAAGAGCACUGACUGCUCUUCCAGAGGUCCUGAGUUCAAUUCCCAGCAACUCCA
Non-coding RNA from Rattus norvegicus (Norway rat), 73 nucleotides. Lineage: Eukaryota; Metazoa; Chordata; Mammalia; Rodentia; Muridae. The record is from Rfam.